CCUACGGGGGGCAGCAGUAGGGAAUAUUGCUCAAUGGGGGAAACCCUGAAGCAGCAACGCCGCGUGCAGGAUGAAGGUUUUCGGAUUGUAAACCCCUUUUGUUAGAGAAGAUAAUGACGGUACCUAACGAAUAAGCACCGGCUAACUCCGUGCCAGCCGCCGCUGUAAUACGGAGGGUGCAAGCGUUAUUCGGAAUCACUGGGCGUAAAGAGCGCGUAGGCGGGAUAGCAAGUCAGAUGUGAAAUCCUAUGGCUUAACCAUAGAACUGCAUUUGAAACUGUUAUUCUAGAGUGCGGGAGAGGUAGGUGGAAUUCGUGGUGUAGCGGUAAAAUGCGUAGAGAUCAAGAGGAACACCCAUUGCGAAGGCGACCUACUGGAACGUAACUGACGCUGAAGCGCGAAGGCGUGGGGAGCAAACAGGAUUAGAUACCCGAGUAGUC
RNAcentral lists this ribosomal RNA (440 nucleotides) under uncultured bacterium. Its description in RNAcentral is "partial 16S ribosomal RNA". It matches the Rfam family "Bacterial small subunit ribosomal RNA", at positions 338 to 795 of the family's 1533-position model. The record is from RNAcentral.